RNAcentral lists this ribosomal RNA (447 nucleotides) under uncultured bacterium. RNAcentral's name for it is "bacterial SSU rRNA". It matches the Rfam family "Bacterial small subunit ribosomal RNA", at positions 355 to 825 of the family's 1533-position model. The record is from RNAcentral.
UCGGGAAUUUUGGGCAAUGGGCGAAAGCCUGACCCAGCAACGCCGCGUGAAGGAUGAAGUAUUUCGGUAUGUAAACUUCGUAAGAAUAGGAAGAAUAAAUGACGGUACUAUUUGUAAGGUCCGGCUAACUACGUGCCAGCAGCCGCGGUAAUACGUAGGGACCAAGCGUUGUUCGGAUUUACUGGGCGUAAAGGGCGCGUAGGCGGUGUGUCAAGUCAGUUGUGAAAUCUCCGAGCUUAACUCGGAACGGUCAACUGAUACUGUCACACUAGAGUACAGAAGGGGCAAUCGGAAUUCUUGGUGUAGCGGUGAAAUGCGUAGAUAUCAAGAGGAACACCUGAGGUGAAGACGGGUUGCUGGGCUGACACUGACGCUGAGGCGCGAAAGCCAGGGGAGCAAACGGGAUUAGAUACCCCAGUAGUCCCUGAGCGGGCUGGCAAGGCGCAU